UUCUCCUCCUGUUUAGUUUGACUAAAUAAUUUAAAAAAAUGAAACUUCCUUUGUUCUAGCUACUGCGCACUUGUUUCUCAAACCCUAAAACCUUUUCUUUCUUCCUCCUCUCUCACUACGGCAAUGAAUUGAAUUGAGGAGUUGAGAAGCUUCUUAAUUGAUUGGGUAACGAUUAUAGGCAGGCAAUGCAUCUCUCUUGUUCCAGUUCGAUCAGGUGGGGUGAGGGCAGCAACGCAUCUCUUUCGUUCCGGUUCGAUCCUCAAGUUUCAACACUUUUCUUUUCAUUGAUUGCAAGGUUCGACAUCCUUGCUCAAUUUUUAAAAGCCGUGGAGUCUAUGCAUCAGUGGGUAAUUAUUUGAUUUCUAAAGAGUUACCACUCAAGGCCCAAAGAAACAGAGCCUAAAUCAUAGUGAAGUGGAGUCGGAUUCGUUGUUGAUUAGUUCUUUCGGUGCAGUGCAGCAAGGAAAGCAAAAUUAGAUUUAUCGGCGGCAUAAAUUGAGAGGAAAUGCCGAUUGAUAAAUCUUGGAUGCAAUUAAGUAGAUCAGACCCAAAGUAUAAUCAAGGAGUUACAGAGUUUCUUGAUUACGUGAUAAUAUGUCCAUGCAAAGUAUGUGGAUUAAAUAGAGACAGACUUGUGAUGUCUAAAGUGCACUGGCAUCUCCUUAGAUAUGGAAUUAAACCACACUAUACUUUCUGGAAUUUGCAUGGGGAGGCUGAAGAUGAUAAUAGCGAUGAAAGUGAGGAUGAUACUAAUAGUGAGACUGAUAGAGGUGCUGAUAAUGGAGCAACCCCUAUGGAGCUAUGUGAUGAUAUGCAAGAUUUGAUAGAAGAAAUUUUUCUGCAAGAUCCAAAUGAAGAUGCGCAAAGAUUUUACAAAUUGUUGGAUUGGUGGAGGCACCAUUAUAUGAGGAUUGCAAAAAGUAUUCAAACUUGUCAUUUAUUGUCAAGUUGAUGCACAUCAAGUGCAGCAAUAAUUGGAGAAACAAAUCAUUUAAGAUGUUGCUAGAACUGUUAAAAGAUGCAUUUCCUACGUGCAAAAAACUUCCCAAAUCCAAUUAUGGUGCAAAGAAGAUUGUUCAAGAACUCGGCAUUCAUUAUGAGAGAAUUGACACAUGCAAGAAUGACUGUAUAAUUUAUUACAAGGGGCAUGCAAAUGCAACUAAAUCCCAUAUGUAAGUCUUCAAGAUGGCAGACAUAAUGUGGCAAGGGCGACAAAAAGAAGCGAAAGAAGAUUCCAUGGAAGGUGUUGCGAUAUUUUCCUUGGUCCUCCUAAGAAGAAAGGUAGAGGGGGAGCUAAGGGUGAAAAGGGACAUGACAUGCCAGCUAAUAUACAUGACGGACGGUAUUUGUGAUGACUUAGAUUUUAGUUAUUUAAUUCCUACAAUUAGUAAUGGAUUAGUUGUACGGAUAAUAAGUGUUAUGCUUUGUUCGUAUGUUAUUUGUGAAGUGGAAUGAUUUUUGGAUGAAUAA
Molecule: long non-coding RNA, 1470 nt
Organism: Rosa chinensis
Lineage: Eukaryota; Viridiplantae; Streptophyta; Magnoliopsida; Rosales; Rosaceae
Exons: 5
Source: RefSeq, a predicted model, not a curated record